CCUGUGGCCACAACCACCCUGAAUGUGCCCUGAAGAUAAGCAGGGUUGGGCCUGGUUAGUACUUGGACAGGAAAAUGGAGUACUGUAACGGUUUCAAGU
This 99-nucleotide ribosomal RNA is filed under the name Fukomys damarensis (Damara mole-rat). Lineage: Eukaryota; Metazoa; Chordata; Mammalia; Rodentia; Bathyergidae. The record is from RNAcentral.